UACGUAGGGGGCAAGCGUUGUCCGGAAUCAUUGGGCGUAAAGAGCGUGUAGGCGGCCUGGUAAGUCCGCUGUGAAAGUCCAGGGCUCAACCCUGGAAUGCCGGUGGAAACUGUCAGGCUCGAGUCCGGAAGAGGCGAGUGGAAUUCCUGGUGUAGCGGUGAAAUGCGCAGAUAUCAGGAGGAACACCAAUGGCGAAGGCAGAUCUCUGGGCCGACACUGACACUGAGAGACGAAAGCUAGGGGAGCGAAUGGG
RNAcentral lists this ribosomal RNA (253 nucleotides) under uncultured bacterium. RNAcentral's name for it is "partial 16S ribosomal RNA". It matches the Rfam family "Bacterial small subunit ribosomal RNA", at positions 524 to 776 of the family's 1533-position model. The record is from RNAcentral.